CCACAUUCAUUUCAUGGAAUGGAAUAUAUUCAAUGGAUCGAAUUUCAUGACUUUUCACCCAAUACUCAUUAUUUUGCCUUAGCCAUCACAAUAUCAUCAAUAUGGUGUAUUGAGAUUCAAACUCAAUAUUUUAUCCAUAUAAAGGCGUCUUAGGCAUAAAUCAAUAGGACUUGAACCCAAAUAUUAUCAUCCCUUUUGAUAAUAUUGUUCUUGAGGAAUGAAUUUAAAACAUAAAUGGUUCCAAACCAAUUAUUUUUCCUCAAAUUCAACAAUAAUUAUAUCAUUAAUAGAAAAAUACAAAUAACAUAAGGAAUU
RNAcentral lists this long non-coding RNA (315 nucleotides) under Capsicum annuum. RNAcentral's name for it is "long non-coding RNA (CANN_LNC002893)". The record is from RNAcentral. Lineage: Eukaryota; Viridiplantae; Streptophyta; Magnoliopsida; Solanales; Solanaceae.